RNAcentral lists this long non-coding RNA (915 nucleotides) under Ricinus communis (castor bean). Its description in RNAcentral is "long non-coding RNA (RCOM_LNC003087)". The record is from RNAcentral. Lineage: Eukaryota; Viridiplantae; Streptophyta; Magnoliopsida; Malpighiales; Euphorbiaceae.
AAAAGUCAAGAUCAACAAAAUUAAGAACCACAAAAAAGCCAUAAGAUAGGCAGUGCUGCUGACUCCAUAAUUUUGGUACAUGGCUGAUCAAUAAGCCAAUAAUUCCCGAUUGGUAGGUCGGGCUAAGGUUCCAAAUUCUGCAAAUGGGUGGAUGUGGUAAGACCCACCUAAACAUGCUCUCUUAACAGAGAGUAAAUAAUUGGAGAAAGUUUGAAAUAUUGGAUAGGCCGAGUCACAUAACUCAAUGAACAAUUUUUGAUCUAAGAAAUGUCAAAGACUAGAAUCAUUUUUUUUUUUUUAAAGUACAAACCCAUGAUAAAGGGACACUAAUUGAAAAACAAACAUAAGUUAAGUACCAAUAACUGACCCAACUCAUGGAAACAAUCAAACAAAAGAAGCAAAACAUAAAUUUCAGUGGUGGGUAAGAAGGCAAACGGAGGCAGCAAUGGCAAAAGCAAAAACCCAGCGGACUCCAGCGGAAUCCUUGCUCAUAGAAGCGAACAACAGCUCUUAGAAUGAUGGUUGUAACACCCAAGCAAGAAUGGAGGCACCAGCCCGGAGGACAAUAAUGGCGGCCAAACCAUUAUCAACACUUGCCACAUCUAUAACAUCGCCCUCAGCCCCUGCUUUUAUACCGCACCAGUCACUUCCCCGGCGACUGCAAGAGCCCAUCCUAUCCGCCUUCAGAACGGCACACAUCAAGCAAAAUCACCCACCAAACCAAAAUUGAAAAGGAAAAGGAGAAAAGAGAAGGGGAGGGCCACCGACAACAGUUGUUCUUCAUUUAUAAAUUAUAACAUAAGAAAUUUUAAUCAUAACUCAUUCACUCAAACUAGUGAUAUGGAGCAUAAUCAUGGAAUGAACUAUAUAUACGUUGUAACAAUUUUAAAUCCUUACUAUUCAGCUUGAGUAGUU